ACGGGAGGCAGCAGUGAGGAAUAUUGGUCAAUGGACGCAAGUCUGAACCAGCCAUGCCGCGUGAAGGAUUAAGGCCCUAUGGGUUGUAAACUUCUUUUGUACGAGAGCAAUAAGGUCCACGUGUGGAUCGAUGAGAGUAUCGUACGAAUAAGCAUCGGCUAACUCCGUGCCAGCAGCCGCGGUAAUACGGAGGAUGCGAGCGUUAUCCGGAUUUAUUGGGUUUAAAGGGUGCGUAGGCGGCUUAUUAAGUCAGCGGUGAAAUGCAAAUGCUUAACAUUUGACGUGCCGUUGAUACUGGUGAGCUUGAAUGCGGAUGCCGUGGGAGGAAUGUGUGGUGUAGCGGUGAAAUGCAUAGAUAUUACUCAGAACACCGAUUGCGAAGGCAUCUCACGAAUCCGUCAUUGACGCUGAGGCACGAAAGCGUGGGGAUCAAACAGGAUUAGAUACCCUGGUA
This 454-nucleotide ribosomal RNA is filed under the name uncultured bacterium. Its description in RNAcentral is "partial 16S ribosomal RNA". It matches the Rfam family "Bacterial small subunit ribosomal RNA", at positions 341 to 792 of the family's 1533-position model. The record is from RNAcentral.